This 485-nucleotide ribosomal RNA is filed under the name uncultured bacterium. RNAcentral describes it as "partial 16S ribosomal RNA". It matches the Rfam family "Bacterial small subunit ribosomal RNA", at positions 28 to 507 of the family's 1533-position model. The record is from RNAcentral.
AUUGAACGCUGGCGGCAUGCCUUACACAUGCAAGUCGAACGGCAGCGGGCCCUUCGGGGUGCCGGCGAGUGGCGAACGGGUGAGUAAUGCAUCGGAACGUACCCGGGAGAGGGGGAUAACCGGCCGAAAGGCUGGCUAAUACCGCAUGAACUCGGAAGAGCAAAGCGGGGGACCUUCGGGCCUCGCGCUCUCGGAGCGGCCGAUGUCCGAUUAGGCUAGUUGGUGGGGUAAAGGCCCACCAAGGCGACGAUCGGUAGCGGGUCUGAGAGGACGAUCCGCCACACUGGAACUGAGACACGGCCCAGACUCCUACGGGAGGCAGCAGUGGGGAAUCUUGGACAAUGGGCGCAAGCCUGAUCCAGCAAUGCCGCGUGGGUGAAGAAGGCCUUCGGGUUGUAAAGCCCUUUCGGCGGGGAAGAAAUCGGUCAGGCGAAUAGUCUGGCCGGAUGACGGUACCCGCAGAAGAAGCACCGGCUAACUACGUG